AACUCUGUCUGGCUUCCUAGAGGAGAGGGAGGGAUGAGAAAGGGUCUCCGAGCGCAACAGGACAUGGAGAAAGAGCGAGAGACUCUGCAGGCCUGGAAGGAGCGCGUGGGGCAGGAGCUGGACCGCGUGGUGGCUUUCUGGAUGGAGCACUCCCACGACCAGGAGCACGGGUACUCGGCGUGCUUCUGGAGUCCUCUGCAGGGUUUUUGCCCUUCCUGAGGCCCCUUCUCACUCUCAGGCACCUCACAGAUUUGCUGGCCCCAGAGGGGCAGGAGGGGCUGGCAAGGCCCCUUCCAGACUUUGCUAACUCUGCCUUCCCACAGGGGCUUCUUCACGUGCCUUGGCCGCGAGGGGCGGGUGUAUGAUGACCUCAAGUAUGUGUGGCUGCAGGGGAGGCAGGUAUGGAUGUAUUGUCGCCUGUACCGCACUUUCGAGCGCUUCCGCCAUGCUCAGCUUCUGGACGCAGCAAAAGCAGGUGGUGAGUUCUUGCUGCGUUAUGCCCGGGUGGCACCUCCUGGCAAGAAGUGUGCCUUUGUGCUGACUCGGGACGGCCGCCCGGUCAAGGUGCAGCGGACCAUCU
Molecule: small RNA, 580 nt
Filed under: Pongo abelii (Sumatran orangutan)
Lineage: Eukaryota; Metazoa; Chordata; Mammalia; Primates; Hominidae
Description: retained intron
Source: RNAcentral